UCCGGCUUAUCACCGGCAGUCCCACUAGAGUGCCCAACUGAAUGAUGUCAAACCCAGGUAAGGUUCUUCGCGUUGCAUCGAAUUAAUCCGCAUGCUCCGCCGCUUGUGCGGGCCCCCGUCAAUUCCUUUGAGUUUUAGCCUUGCGGCCGUACUCCCCAGGCGGGGCGCUUAAUGCGUUAGCUGCGGCACAGAGAACCGGAGAGGCCCCCCACACCUAGCGCCCAACGUUUACAGCGUGGACUAC
This 244-nucleotide unclassified non-coding RNA is filed under the name uncultured Actinomycetes bacterium. RNAcentral describes it as "uncultured actinobacterium contains 16S-23S intergenic spacer region". Lineage: Bacteria; Bacillati; Actinomycetota; Actinomycetes. The record is from RNAcentral.